AUGACCGUCCAUGAUCUAGAAAACAGCCUCAGGAUCUGGGAGAGGAAGGUGGAAAUUGCAGAGAUGGCCUUGAAGAGCUACCGCAAUGUUUGGCAUAAGGCGAAGAUGGCCAGUCACCAGCUGCAGGCUCUUCUACCAGAGCAGGAGAGACACAAAGUGACAGAGGGACUCUAGAGAAAUCCGGAGGAGGAGGAGGAGAGCGGGAGGAAACUCGCAAGCCACCUGCUGCACCCAUCAGCCCCCACCGUCCUGAUGCAGAGCUUCAUUCCGAUGACCCCCCCUCCCUUCUUCCCCCCCCGCCCCCUCCCAGGGCCAGACCAAGGAGGCUUCGGAUAGGCACAAAGCCCCUGGAGGUCACCGAGAGGGAAGGAGGCUUUUGCCGUGCUCCAUCUGACCUCCAGGCCUCGGUUUCUGCCCCUUCGGUGUGUUAGUAAACGGAUCUGUCUUAAGCCAUUUAUCGAUCACGAUAGACCUGCUUGACUACAGAGCUGUGGAGUUGAUUCAAAUCACUCCACAACAUGAGAAUGAAU
RNAcentral lists this long non-coding RNA (530 nucleotides) under Pseudonaja textilis. RNAcentral describes it as "lncRNA (ENSPTXG00000007006.1)". The record is from RNAcentral. Lineage: Eukaryota; Metazoa; Chordata; Lepidosauria; Squamata; Elapidae.